Molecule: unclassified non-coding RNA, 661 nt
Filed under: Hevea brasiliensis (rubber tree)
Lineage: Eukaryota; Viridiplantae; Streptophyta; Magnoliopsida; Malpighiales; Euphorbiaceae
Source: RNAcentral
AGAGAGAGAGAGAGAGAAGCAACAUAUUUUCAUUAGAGUAUGUAAUAAAAAAAAGCUUUUCCAAAGCUUACGAAACAUAUGUUCACUGUGGGGAAAAAGAAAUCUAUGGGGCCGAUGUUUACGGGUACGAUGCGUAAGCCUCUGUAUUCAAUGAUUUUGUUGUAAUAAGCAAAAUUUCCAAACUUACAGGAUAAAUAUUUUAUAUCAAAUCAAUCGAAUUGAACCAUGGGCAAAACCAACUAAUAUCAAAGAAGAAUUGAUAGACUAAUUUCAUAGAGAAUUCUUGUGUGAGUUCAUUCCAGUGUUGUUAAAUUCGGCUCAAAUAUCAGUUUUCUUUUUUCAGAGCUCAAAAUAUCAGGUUAACCCUAUAAAUUAGUGACUUAAGCAUUAAAUUGACUCGAGUUUCCAAUUGAAACAAAUAAAGAAUUGAUUCGCUAAAAAUUAAAUUCAAAUCAAUUUUUUAUUAACCCAUGUGAAUCAAUCAAUUGACCAGUAGUCUUCAGAGAUAAUAUUUUUUAGAAUGCCAAUAAAGAAAUUUCAACCAAUCACCUCAAUAAACGAUCACAAUAUUAUAUAUAUUUUAAUUUCACCCAUUAAUUUAGUUCCUCAAUCUAAUCAAGAUCCAAACUGGAUCAGAUAACAACAAUAGUUGAUCUUGAAU